AGCUUUAGGAAAGGAUCUAAAGUUGAACCUGCCCAAUGUGUAAUACUAUGAAUGGCCGCGGUACUUUGACCGUGCUAAGGUAGCGCAAUCAAUUGGCUCUUAAUUGGGGUCAGGUAUGAAUGGAAUCACGUGGUUCAGCUGUCUCUUUUGUAGUUACUUGAAAUUACUAUAUAAGUGAAAAAGCUUAUUAUUAGAAAAAAGACGAGAAGACCCUUAGAGUUUGUCUUAAUGUGAAAUUAGUAUAUUCAUAAUAGUUUAGUUGGGGCAACAUAGGAGCAUUAAGUAAAAAUAUUUAAAUCAAUCUCCUAAAUAUAAUUAACCGAUUAUUUAUAAAAGUGAAUAAACUACCUUAGGGAUAACAGCAUAAUGUAAUAGAUAAGUUUGUGACCUCGAUGUUGGACUAGGAAACUUAAAGGCUAGCCGUCUUUAUAGGGAAGUUCUGUUCGAACUAUUAUUCCU
This 459-nucleotide ribosomal RNA is filed under the name Miamira sinuata. Its description in RNAcentral is "partial 16S ribosomal RNA". It matches the Rfam family "Archaeal large subunit ribosomal RNA", at positions 1910 to 2665 of the family's 2987-position model. Lineage: Eukaryota; Metazoa; Mollusca; Gastropoda; Nudibranchia; Chromodorididae. The record is from RNAcentral.